UACGUAGGGUGCAAGCGUUAAUCGGAAUUACUGGGCGUAAAGCGUGCGCAGGCGGCUUUGCAAGACAGAUGUGAAAGCCCCGGGCUCAACCUGGGAAUUGCAUUCGAGACUGCAUUGCUGGAGUACGGAAGAGGAGGGCGGAAUUCCCGGUGUAGCGGUGAAAUGCGUAGAUAUCGGGAGGAACAUCAGUGGCGAAGGCGGCCCUCUGGUCCAGUACUGACACUCAAGUGCGAAAGCGUGGGGAGCAAACAGG
This 253-nucleotide ribosomal RNA is filed under the name uncultured bacterium. RNAcentral's name for it is "partial 16S ribosomal RNA". It matches the Rfam family "Bacterial small subunit ribosomal RNA", at positions 524 to 776 of the family's 1533-position model. The record is from RNAcentral.